Molecule: long non-coding RNA, 984 nt
Organism: Glycine soja
Lineage: Eukaryota; Viridiplantae; Streptophyta; Magnoliopsida; Fabales; Fabaceae
Exons: 6
Source: RefSeq, a predicted model, not a curated record
UUGUGCUUGUUCAGAUCGUUGUUAUGUUAUGCUAUGGGAUUCGAUUACUAUUGUGUGAAAGUUACCCUUCUCUUAAGUUAUGUUUUCAACACUUCAUUUGGUUUGAUAUUUAGAUUUUUGUCUUCCAUCCCCAUUGAUAACCAUGAAACCCCUAAACUAUCUGGUGUAUGCAACUAACAGGUAAUUACUCUGUCUAUCACUGGGGCGUUGAAUGCAGUCUUAACUGAAGAACAUAGAAAGGAAAUAUGCCGUUACCUCUAUAAUCAUCAAAACAAGGAUGGUGGGUGGGGUUUGCAUAUUGAAGGUCCUAGCACCAUGUUUGGCUCUGUCUUGAGUUAUAUUACUCUGAGAUUGCUAGGUGAGGGACCUAAUGAUGGACAAGGGGAAAUGGAGAAGGCACGUGACUUGAUUCUAGGGCAUGGCGGUGCUACUUAUAUAACGUCAUGGGGGAAGAUGUGGCUUUCAGUACUUGGAGUUUAUGAAUGGUCCGGAAAUAAUCCCCUGCCCCCUGAGAUAUGGCUCCUUCCAUACAUGCUUCCAUUUCAUGCAGGUAUGUUCCAUUCUUGACGAGACACUGCAAGCAGUUGGUGCUAAAGCAAUGGUGGUCGGACAUACUCCUCAAACUAUAGGUGUAAAUUGUAAAUACAAUUGUACCAUAUGGCUCAAAGAUUGCGGAAUGUGCAGUGGAGUUUUGAAUUCAAGACCAGAGGUUCCUCUAUAAAUUAUAGACGAGAAAGCAAGAGUUAUAAGUUGCAAAAGGGACAGACACAGUGAACUUCAAGCUGCUGAAUAUACUUAAGAAACAAACAAAUGAUUUAACAUGUAUAUUAAAUUACAAGUUGCCUGUUGAUUGAUUCUUUUGUUACAGAUUCAAUUCAAAAUUUGGAAGUAAUUGUUAUUUGUUGACAAGUGUUACACAUUUGUAAGUUGAAACUUUCCACCCAAUUAGAGUUCCCCCUGCCCCCCACCUAAACCAUUCUUUAA